AGUUCAUUUCUGAGAGUAUUUUUUUUAUUUCUUGUCUCUGUGUGAUAAAGAAGAAAAAGAUUGUGAUAUAGAUAUAAGUAUUACUGUACCACUAAAUACAUAAUCUAGUCAAACGAAAUACGAAAAAAGGAGAAUAAUUAUGUUCAAAAUAAUUGUGCCUUUAUUAACGAGAAACUCGUGCAAAGAUAACGCGAAUUUGAGAACCGCUUGUUGUAUAAAAAAUUUCUUAAUUUCACCAGCAACGCAAAAAAGCACAUUGUCGGUGGCAAAUUUUACUCAACGACGCCAUUUUCUUUUUUCAUCGACCAACAGAAAAACUAUAGCAGCUUUUCCAGCAACUGCCGUUAAGGAACAAUUGGGAGUUAGUAGUUACCGCUUAGGACAAAACCUAGAGCUUCACACAAAAGCAAAUCGACGAGGAUUUUAUUGCUCUAGCGUUAACGCAAAUUUUAAGGAAGCGGCCGAUACUAAUUCUACGGAAAAGCUAACCUCAUCAGCAUCAGACGUUGGAACAACAUCCAAAAGGGAUUCAACAACAGCACAACAUACAAGACAACAAACUUUAUUUGAAGACUCGGACGACGAAUACAACAGUUUUGGUAAAAUGGCUCCUCAUGAUAAAACUUAUGGUGCCGCUCGUGGCGGACGUGAUGAAAAUCGUGGUCGUGAUGGUGGUGAUCGUUAUGGCAGCCGCAGCGGUGGACGUGGUGGUGAUUACCAUGGCGUAAGCAAGGGACGCGUUGAGAAAGGGGGUCGUGGCGGUCAUGAUCGUGGAGGCCGCGGUGGUGGUUUCGGUGGCGGUUAUGGCGGCGGCAGUGGUUUUGGCGGUGGCGAUCGUCGUGGAGGUGGUGGCAACGCCCAAGAUCUCUCAAUUCGCCCCGUUGACUUCAGCAAUUUGACUCCAUUCAAAAAGGACUUCUACAAGGAACAUCCUACUGUUGCUAGUCGCUCCUAUGCCGAGGUACAACGUUUCCGCGACGAACAUGAAAUUACCAUUCGUGGUAAUGCUCCCAAUCCCAUACAAGAUUUCAGCGAAGCUUAUUUACCCGACUAUGUAAGCAAAGAAAUUCGUCGCCAAGGCUAUAAGGCACCCACAGCCAUUCAGGCUCAGGGUUGGCCCAUUGCCAUGGCUGGACACAAUCUAGUUGGUAUUGCCAAGACCGGUUCCGGCAAGACUUUGGGCUAUAUUUUGCCCGCCAUUGUACACAUCAACAAUCAAGCUCCUUUGCAACGUGGUGAUGGACCCAUUGCCUUGGUAUUGGCUCCAACCCGUGAAUUGGCCCAACAAAUUCAACAAGUUGCCACCGAAUUCGGUUCUUCAUCAUACGUACGCAACACUUGCGUGUUCGGUGGUGCUCCAAAAGGCGGUCAAAUGCGCGAUCUUCAACGUGGCUGCGAAAUUGUUAUUGCCACACCUGGUCGUUUGAUUGAUUUCUUGGCCGCUGGUGCCACCAACUUGAGGCGUUGUACAUAUUUGGUUUUGGAUGAAGCUGAUCGUAUGUUGGAUAUGGGUUUCGAACCACAAAUUCGUAAGAUUAUCUCACAAAUUCGUCCCGAUCGUCAAACUCUUAUGUGGUCCGCUACAUGGCCCAAAGAGGUCAAACAAUUAGCCGAAGAUUUCUUGGGAAAUUACAUACAAAUAAACAUUGGUUCAUUGGAAUUGUCGGCAAAUCACAAUAUUCGUCAAGUCAUUGAUGUGUGCGAAGAAAGUGACAAGGAAGAAAAGUUAAAAUCUUUGCUUUCGGAAAUCUAUGAUACCAGCGAAAACCCCGGCAAAAUUAUUAUUUUCGUUGAAACCAAACGUCGCGUUGACCACUUGGUACGUUUCAUUCGCAGCUUUGGUGUUCGUUGCGGCGCAAUUCAUGGUGACAAAUCACAAUCGGAACGUGAUUUUGUAUUGCGUGAAUUCCGUUCGGGCAAAUCUAAUAUUUUAGUAGCCACAGAUGUUGCAGCCCGUGGUUUGGAGGCCACAAUAAAUUGUUGCAUGGUGGGGAUAAAAUGUCAUCUAAAAAAUCUUUUAAUGAUUUGAAAUGAAAACUGAAAGCGAAAGUCACAUUUGAAAUAUGUGAGCUAAUAAUUCGUUGAUACUUCGAAUGAUUGUUUGUCGUUCGCGUGAGUUUCGUGAGUUUUGACUUGAAAGCGGCGGCCACGGAAUAGCGGCAACACUUUUUUACCAUAAUGGCCAUUGGAAAAAAGGGUAUGUCGUACAAACCGUCUCACCACCGCUCAACACAUACGAACCGAUAAACGUCCAAAGGAGGAGGUAUAUUUGCAAGAAGCAACAAAAACAAUGUGUGAUUACGCUUGGUUGUGAGUGAAUAUAUACAACGCCGCACAAUUUCAAUGGAGUGGUGUCGUGUGUCAAUUAUUACUGAGCGUACCGCACCUCCGCAUAUGUUUGGUUUGCGAAAUAACAUCAGCAGUACACGCAAAAAUAUACCGCCACCUUGAUAGACAAUGAUAUACGCGUAUCUAUCUAAUUAAAGAAUCGUCACAUAUAUCCCUAUCAUCAAUCAAGCAUAUUUGUGCUAAGAGGCCUCUGCUGUAAAAAAGUUGGGAGCAAAUUGGUGUUGAACAUGAACAACAACAAGAACAAAGAGCAAAAUACUUCUAUCUAAAAGCAUAACAAUAACUCUCUCAAUUUAAAAUCUCAAUAAAAUUGUUGUUAACUGAAUUAAUUAUUAUAAUAAAAAUGGUGGGGACACACGUGCAGCAGCAUCAUAAUUGGACGGAGUGCAUUACAUUGCGCAGGAGUCAGUCGGUCAUGUUUAAACAAAAAAACGCCAGACCCUCAAUUGGGUUGGAGUUUUUAAAUUUUAUAAUUACUAAUGAAUAGAAAUCAAGAACAUCUUUCCCGCUGGCGAAUGCUCUCCGCUCUGUUCACAGUUGGCUUAAGCAGGCAUCUUAAAAAAGCUCGUAGAAGAGACCAGGUCUUUUAAGGACUGUGUGUGUGAAUGUGUUCUUUGUUGUGUAUAUCGACAGCUGGAUCAUUGUUACUGGUGAUGAUUUGGUUUUUUUCCAAUCUAUUUCAAAACAAAUGUAUAGAAAUGUCAAUAUUAAUGGAACAGUUGGAGAGACGUAUCCAAAGUAUGUGAAAUCGUAUAACAAAUGUUGAAUAGGCUGUUCAAGACCAAACCCCUCAAAGACGGCGGAUAUCAUCAUUUGGUUUUACGUCCUUUACAAAACAGAGUACGUCCCCGGCACAAAAUAGUCUUACAACUCCUCAACAAGACACAAGCAAAGGACACACAUUUCCUACAAAAUGAGAACAACAACAACGAAAGUAUAACAACAAAAACCAGUCAGAGUAGUAGCUUAUUUUAGGAAAUCUACAUACACAAUCAACAAAAUCCAUCGGAUGCCUGCCUUUAACUUCUGUACACAAUGGAUGCUGGAGCCUUUGAAUGACACACUAAAGAAACGCACUCAACCUCAUCAGAAUCAUAUACGUCGAUGGCAUUAAAUAUGUAAUUAAUUUCGAUUAUCCACAAUCAUCGGAGGAUUAUAUCCAUCGUAUUGGUCGUACUGGACGUUCAAACACAACUGGCACAUCAUAUGCAUUCUUCACACGCAACAACUCCAAACAGUCGAAGGCACUGCUUGAUGUUCUUCGUGAGGCUAAUCAGG
Musca domestica (house fly) is the source of this 3627-nucleotide RNA transcript. It is a transcript of the gene named ATP-dependent RNA helicase p62, with no coding region annotated. The transcript has 5 exons. The record is from RefSeq and is a predicted model, not a curated record. Lineage: Eukaryota; Metazoa; Arthropoda; Insecta; Diptera; Muscidae.